UAUAAACCCUUAUAUAUAAUUCAUAUUUUUAAAUACAGAGCUUCAGGGUAAUCACUACAACAAAAACGGUCUAUAGCGACACUUUUAAAUGUUGGUACAUGUCAAAAAAGUGCCGCUAGCUAAAAUAACCCACACUUUUAAAAAGUGUUGCUAUAUGUGGGGUCGUUAGGUAUAUAGUGACAGUUAAAGAGUGUCGUUAUAACCUAAAAGAGUGCUGCUAAUUUACCAACACUUAUUUAAGCAUUUAGCAACCGCCGAAACUCUAUCGCGUUGGCUGCGGUAGCAGAUGAGGACGACAGAAAAGGUUCUUCGUCUAGAAUUUCAGUGGAUUAAGUGAAGAGAGAAGAAAAGAUGGUAAUUGAUUUUUUUUUUUUCUUUUCUGUUUGUAAUCGGGCAAAUGGACUGGGUGUGAUGGGUUGAGUAGAAUAAUCUUUUAUUUUUUGGUUGGAUUGGGCUUUAUAUUUAGGCCUUAGUAGAUGUUUUUUUAAGUUUUAGUAUAAAUGAGACACUUAUUCAAAAGUGUUCCAAACAUGUGUCCUUAUAACCUAAUUCUGUUGUAGUGAAUACUUUAAAUUAAGAGAAAAACAUGGGAGAGCUU
Molecule: long non-coding RNA, 598 nt
Filed under: Ananas comosus (pineapple)
Lineage: Eukaryota; Viridiplantae; Streptophyta; Magnoliopsida; Poales; Bromeliaceae
Description: long non-coding RNA (ACOM_LNC018843)
Source: RNAcentral